This 991-nucleotide unclassified non-coding RNA is filed under the name Zea mays. RNAcentral's name for it is "misc RNA Zm00001eb384920". The record is from RNAcentral. Lineage: Eukaryota; Viridiplantae; Streptophyta; Magnoliopsida; Poales; Poaceae.
UCUGCUCGUUCCUGAAGUAGUCGUCGGGGUCUAUCUGACUCUUGGCCACGGCGAGCCUCUGAUAGUUGUCCUUGAAGUACUUGUGUCCCCACACCAUACCGGCCUGGUAGCUGCUGACGUUGCCCACAACGACGUUCUCACCAAGGUCCAGGUCCCUGUAGUUGAAGUAGGCCUCCCUCGGGUUGGAGCUCACGUACGGUGCCAUGAACGCGUACAAGUCCCUGACCCACUUGGUCUGGACGGCUCCGUCUCCUCCCCCAGCCAUGGGCCAGAAGUUCAUGUACUGGAUGUUGUACAGCACGCCGGCGCGGUGCGGGAACGGCGUCGCCGACUCCGGCACGGUGCUGAUCUGCGCGCCGUAGGGGUCCAGAAUCAUGAGCCCCGCGUUGGGCUGCGCGAGCCUGCUGAAUAUGUUGGCCCACACGUCCCGGGGGAUGGCCUGCCGGACGUAGUCGGACGUGGCCUUGUAGCCGCUGCUGAACACGGACGCGGAGGUGGUCCGGUUCAGGAGGUCCUCCACCGUGGAGCCGCUGCCGAGGUAGAUGUAGGGCACGGAUUGGAUCCACGUCAUCUCCUUGCAGGAGCUGCGGUUGAGCCCCAGCUCCGGGAAGCGGCUGCCCAUGACGGGCAGGAGCGCGUCGCACGUGCCGAGGAACAGGGACUGGAAGUUGGCCGUCUGCUGCUGGACGAGCACCCUGAUGAAGAGGUCGUCCGGCAGGGCAGGCGCGACCUGCUGCCACCUGGUGACCACGUCCACGGCGCCCUGGCUCGCGGGCACCGGGACGUUGAACACCGCCACCGUUGCCGGGACAGGCACGAGCCUGACCUGCCACGACAGCACGACACCGAAGCUCUCGCCGCCGCCGCCACGGAUCGCCCAGAAGACGUCGCUCCCCAUGGUGUUCUUGCUGAGGAGCCUCCCCCUGGCGUCCACCAGCACGGCGUCGAGGACGUUGUCGAUGGCCAGGCCGUACUUGCGCAGCAGCAUGCC